UGGGGAAUAUUGCACAAUGGGCGCAAGCCUGAUGCAGCCAUGCCGCGUGUAUGAAGAAGGCCUUCGGGUUGUAAAGUACUUUCAGCGGGGAGGAAGGCGAUAAGGUUAAUAACCUUGUCGAUUGACGUUACCCGCAGAAGAAGCACCGGCUAACUCCGUGCCAGCAGCCGCGGUAAUACGAAGGGUGCAAGCGUUAAUCGGAAUUACUGGGCGUAAAGCGCACGCAGGCGGUCUGUCAAGUCGGAUGUGAAAUCCCCGGGCUCAACCUGGGAACUGCAUUCGAAACUGGCAGGCUAGAGUCUUGUAGAGGGGGGUAGAAUUCCAGGUGUAGCGGUGAAAUGCGUAGAGAUCUGGAGGAAUACCGGUGGCGAAGGCGGCCCCCUGGACAAAGACUGACGCUCAGGUGCGAAAGCGUGGGGAGCAAACA
This 427-nucleotide ribosomal RNA is filed under the name uncultured bacterium. RNAcentral's name for it is "partial 16S ribosomal RNA". It matches the Rfam family "Bacterial small subunit ribosomal RNA", at positions 355 to 774 of the family's 1533-position model. The record is from RNAcentral.